RNAcentral lists this ribosomal RNA (1309 nucleotides) under Terebellides stroemii. Its description in RNAcentral is "large subunit ribosomal RNA". The stretch from base 821 to 1218 matches the Rfam family "Bacterial large subunit ribosomal RNA", at positions 2049 to 2651 of the family's 2925-position model. The record is from RNAcentral. Lineage: Eukaryota; Metazoa; Annelida; Polychaeta; Terebellida; Trichobranchidae.
UAAUAAAACAAGAACAAAUAUUAAAUAUUUUAUUUUUAUUAAUAAUCCUAUAUAAACAAAAUACUAAACAUACUUAACCGCAAGGUAAUAAAAUAAAUCUUUAAAAGCCCUUUUUUAAGGUACCUUCUGCAUCAUGGCUUAGCAACUCUUAACCUAAUUUAGCUCUAUCCCGAAAAUUAACGAGCUGUUUUUAUUUUGCUAAGAGCCCAUUAUAUUAUAUUUCAUGAUAAAUAAAAAAAAUAAAAACAGAGGCUACAUACCUUCCGCGUUAAUAAAUAGCUGGUUUUCCAAGAAAUCUAUGUAAGUAGAUAAAUUUACUCUAAGUAAAUAUUUUCAAGAUAGGGGGAUAAGCUCCUCUCUUUUCUCUAUUAAAACUUUUAAUUCUUUAUUUUUAAGUAGGCCUCAUAACAGCCACCUUUAUUAAUACGUAAUAGUUAAUUUACCAUUUUAAAAAAAUAUUUUAUAAAAUUAUGAGCAAACUAUUAGAAAAUCUAGUUUAAUACUUCUUCACUAGAAAUAUUCUGCUAAGAUAAGUAUUUUCUAUUUUAAUAAAUUUUUAACUCUUAACCUAAAAAUACCCUACUAUUUAAUUAAAAAAUAUUUUUAAGGAACUAAGCAAACCUAGCCUCGACUGUUUACCAAAAACAUUGCUUCACGUUUAUAUAUGAGAAGUUAAUCCUGCCCAGUGACCCAAGGGUUAAACGGCCGCGGUACCCUGACCGUGCUAAGGCAGCAUAAUAAAUCGCCCUUUAAUUGUGGGCUUGUAUGAACGGAUAAACGAAGGCUUAACUGUCUCUUUUAUAAUAAUAAAAAUUGGCCUUUAGGUGAAAAGACCUAAAUUAAAUUAGAGGACAAAAAGACCCCGUAGAGCUUCGUACUUUCUUAAACCCAAAUUUAUAAACUAUACUAAAAAAUAUUUUAAUUAAAAGUACUUGGCUGGGGCGGCUAUGGAGUAAAUACCCUCCACAAACAAUAAAAGAUUCAACAAAUCUUACUUACUGAUCCUACAUUAGAUCAAAGAAAAUAGCUACCUCGGGGAUAACAGAUUAAUCCCUUUUGAGAGUCCACAUUGACAAAGGGUUUUGACACCUCGAUGUUGGCUUAGGGUCACCAAGGGGUCAGCAGCAGCCCCUAAAGGUAGGUUUGUUCAACCUUUAAAACCCUACAUGAGCUGAGUUCAGACCGGCGCAAGCUAGGUCAGCUUCUAUCCCUAAUAUUAAAUAUUUCUCCAAUUGUACGAAAGGACCCUGGAGAAAAAAUUAUUUUUUUCUAAGAAAUCUUAUAAUAACUUCUUAAACAUCUUAAUUUU